UAGCUCAGUUGGUAGAGCAUGGUGUUUGCAACGCCAGGGUUGUGGGUUCGAUUCCUAC
RNAcentral lists this transfer RNA (58 nucleotides) under Salmo salar (Atlantic salmon). It matches the Rfam family "tRNA", at positions 8 to 63 of the family's 71-position model. Rfam says of the family: Transfer RNA (tRNA) molecules are approximately 80 nucleotides in length. Their secondary structure includes four short double-helical elements and three loops (D, anti-codon, and T loops). The record is from Rfam by way of RNAcentral. Lineage: Eukaryota; Metazoa; Chordata; Actinopteri; Salmoniformes; Salmonidae. RNAcentral also lists the same sequence under 2 other names.